This 469-nucleotide ribosomal RNA is filed under the name uncultured bacterium. Its description in RNAcentral is "bacterial SSU rRNA". It matches the Rfam family "Bacterial small subunit ribosomal RNA", at positions 30 to 491 of the family's 1533-position model. The record is from RNAcentral.
AUUGAACGCUGGCGGCAUGCCUUACACAUGCAAGUCGAACGGCAGCACGGGAGCAAUCCUGGUGGCGAGUGGCGAACGGGUGAGUAAUAUAUCGGAACGUGCCCAGUCGUGGGGGAUAACGUAGCGAAAGCUACGCUAAUACCGCAUACGAUCUAUGGAUGAAAGCGGGGGAUCGCAAGACCUCGCGCGAUUGGAGCGGCCGAUAUCAGAUUAGGUAGUUGGUGAGGUAAAGGCUCACCAAGCCGACGAUCUGUAGCUGGUCUGAGAGGACGACCAGCCACACUGGGACUGAGACACGGCCCAGACUCCUACGGGAGGCAGCAGUGGGGAAUUUUUGGACAAUGGGCGCAAGUCUGAUCCAGCCAUUCCGCGUGCAGGAUGAAGGCCCUCGGGUUGUAAACUGCUUUUGUACGGAACGAAAAGGUUUGUCUUAAUACGAUGAGCUCAUGACGGUACCGUAAGAAUAAGC